Molecule: ribosomal RNA, 972 nt
Filed under: uncultured eukaryote
Lineage: Eukaryota
Description: eukaryotic LSU rRNA
Rfam family: Eukaryotic large subunit ribosomal RNA
Source: RNAcentral
CCUUACCCGCUGAACUUAAGCAUAUCACUAAGCGGAGGAAAAGAAACUAACUAGGAUGGCCUCAGUAACGGCGAGUGAAGCGGCCAGAGCCCAAGAUGGUAAUCUCCGUGCUGCGCGCGGCGAAUUGUAAUCUAGAGAUAAUCUGCUUACCGGGUGGUGGCGCAGAAGUGCCCUGGAACGGGCCGCCAUAGAGGGUGACAGCCCCGUAUGUGGUGCCGCCGCCUAACGAGCAGGUGUUCAAAGAGUCGGGUUGUUUUGUAUUGCAGCCCUAAGUGGGAGAUAAACUUCUUCUAAGGCUAAAUAUAUGUGGGAAACCGAUAGCGAACAAGUACUGUGAAGGAAAGAUGAAAAGCACUUUGGAAAGAGAGUCAAAAGACCUGAAACCGUUGAGGAGGAAGCGGUAGAGAUGAAUUCUACGGCAAGGCAUUCUGUUGGCGGCGUAAUCUUGGCUGGCUGGUCGUACGUCAAAGGCGGCCUGUUUGUCCUAGGUGAUGCCGGUUUCUCAGUGCUGAGUUGUGAGGCCGGAUGGGGUGACGCGAUCACAGAGGCCUGUCUGGCCUGGCUCGAUUCGUUGGGCAGCCAGGGAGUGCCGGUGGCCGCGUGGCCUGAGGGUGCUUUGUGCGAUCCGGUCAAAAUGGUCUUUACCGACCCGUCUUGAAACACGGACCAAGGAGUCUAACGUACACGCGAGUGUGCCGGUGGAGAAACCGACACGCGUAAUGAAGGUGAUUGAUGCCAAGCGUAAGCAGCAGCAUCGGCCGACCAUGAGCUUCUGCGAAAGGUUUGAGUACGAGCGUGUCCGCUAGGACCCGAAAGAUGGUGAACUAUGCCUGCGUAGGGUGAAGCCAGGGGAAACUCUGGUGGAGGCUCGUAGCGAUACUGACGUGCAAAUCGUUCGUCGAACGUGGGUAUAGGGGCGAAAGACUAAUCGAACCAUCUAGUAGCUGGUUCCCUCCGAAGUUUCCCUCAGGA